Molecule: ribosomal RNA, 220 nt
Filed under: uncultured bacterium
Lineage: Bacteria
Description: partial 16S ribosomal RNA
Rfam family: Bacterial small subunit ribosomal RNA
Source: RNAcentral
CGGCGGACGGCUGAGUAACACGUAGGAACGUACCCCAAACUGAGGGAUAAGCACCAGAAAUGGUGUCUAAUACCGCAUGUGCUCUAAGGAGUAAAGCUUCGGCGGUUUGGGAACGGCCUGCGCAUGAUUAGCUUGUUGGUGAGGUAAAAGCUCACCAAGGCGACGAUCAUUAGCUGGUCUGAGAGGAUGACCAGCCAGACUGGGACUGAGAACGGCCCAG